Long non-coding RNA from Photinus pyralis (common eastern firefly), 410 nucleotides. RefSeq lists it as uncharacterized. The record is from RefSeq and is a predicted model, not a curated record. Lineage: Eukaryota; Metazoa; Arthropoda; Insecta; Coleoptera; Lampyridae. The transcript is spliced from 4 exons.
CCAUAAUUGGUGUUUUAGUUAGGUUGGCAACACUGUAAUUCCAGGGCAUCCAUUGCGAUCACGUUUCGUCUUUGAGAAGGUGUUCAAGAUUUUUCAUUUACGUCCAUCGGCCCAUUUAUAUCGUUUUUAAUUGUAUAUUUUAUUGAUUUCGAAGAAAUUCUUCCACCUCGUGGAAUUUCGAUCUUCGCGAGAUCAUCGUACUCUUUUUGGUCGUUUAAUUUUUCUUUAUUUCAGGUUACACCUUCCGGAUUGGUAUGGGGCCGAAGAAGAAGAUUUUAACCGGAGCGGCACUGGCAUCUCAUGUUGCGAAAAUUCGUAGAAUGGCUUCGAGUACGGAUUCCGAAGACGGUGCGACUUCGGUCCGGGAAGAUGUCCGGUGUUCGGGGGCCUCGUCCGGAUUAGGAAAGAAG